This is a long non-coding RNA of Sapajus apella (tufted capuchin), 7029 nucleotides long. RefSeq lists it as uncharacterized. Lineage: Eukaryota; Metazoa; Chordata; Mammalia; Primates; Cebidae. The transcript has 3 exons. The record is from RefSeq and is a predicted model, not a curated record.
CAUGCCCGGACCCUGUGUUAGUUUUUAUUGAUUCACUUUCCCUUUCUCCUCAACAAAAGAGUUAUAUAAAAUAGAAAAUUAAUACGAAUAUUUUGCCAACAUAAAAUUAUAAUGAAAGAUAUUGGGCAGCAAGUUAUAGUGUCACAUAGACUUUUCUAAGCAUAGGUAAAUAUGUCAGCACUGGUUUAUAACCUGAAUUUAUUAUUUUUUUCUUUUUAUAACUUUGUAGUCAACAUUAUGUUCAUUUACAACUGUUUUGUGAGUCUACUGAUUGCAAAAGACAACGAAGAACAAAAUGAGAAUUUUAGUAGAGUAGAUAAUAGUCCCAGUUGCUUGGCUGUUUUGAUAGCACGUAUGAAUAAUUCACCAUCCAUAUUUAAUAGCAUAUGUUAUACUCCUUAAUACAUCUAUAACCAUCUACUUCCAAAGGGAAAACUACCCUGCUGUUUGUGGUUUGUUUAGCUUUUCAAUGAAAGCUGAAGAGAACAUUGAAUAUUUCCCCUAAGACCUACUAAAGCCUGAAUAUUACUUUAGCAUAUUAUCCUCCAUUGUGUUUUCUGAAAAGAUUUCCUUGGGAAUGCCAUCAAGAGUUUAUAAAAAUGAUUAUAAAUAUAUUUAAUUUUUAAAUAUUGCUAAUUGAUACUAAUGCUGUUUUUGUAUAACAUUUGAAAUGUGUAUAUGUAAUUAUACAUAUGUAUAUAUAUGGGAUAUGCUAAGUUGGUAUUUAUGUCUGAUAUGAGAAAAUGUCUAGGUAGGUAAUGUUAAGAUGAUAUUUAAACAACUGUCUCAAAAGGCAGUGAAAGCUUCAUGCAUUAUCAUUAUUGUGAGUUAUUGGAAUUUUCCUCAGGCAUUAGAAAAAUUUGAGGUAAAGUAUACUUUGUUAACCUAGAAAGCCUACUAGAUUUUUUUCAGUGAUUCCUGUUUUAUUUCAAUGCAUAUGUAGAUUAUAUAUUUUAGAGAAGUAUGAAAUUGUAGGUGAAGAAUAUAUAAGUUCAAAAUGCUUCUAUUAUUGACAAAAAACUUAAUCACUGGAAACAUUUAUCCCUUUUAUUGGCAUAUCUGACAGACAGUAGACUGCUGCUUUCUUGAAGGAAUAAGGCUGCAGAAGCAUAUAAUUCAACUGAAACAGAUUUAUCCUAUCAGGAAAACUAAAUAGCAUCAAAUACCCUUGACUUUACAUAGUACAAUGACAACAACCUUGACUAAACACAGAUCAUUUGCUUCACUGAAAGGAAUAGUCCUAAGUAUUAGUAUACGAAAUCCUAUAUCUUACUCCACAUGAUAUAAACUAGCUGUAGAUCUAGAAUAAUAGGUUGUGCAGGGAAUUCAGCAAAGAGAUAACUCAGUUUCUUUACUUUAUAGAUGGGAAUAUUUAAGUCCCAUAGAGGUUAAAUUAUUUUCCUCAGAUGAAGUAGCUGGCUAGUGGCUGAGUUGGGGCUAUGGUGCAAGACCUGUGAUUCCAGUCUAGUCCAGCAUUAUUUUGCAUUGCAUUAUAAUUAUUUUUUAAAUUAACUUUAAUAACUAGUAAUUUUUCUUUAACCUUCCAAACAUAACUAUUUUUCUUUAUAGGAACUUUGUUUCACUUUUAAGAACUACUACAGUAAGUACAAUACUUAUGACAAUUUGGGGGAACUUGCUCUGUGACGUUUAUAUAAAAUAUGUUGAUAACCUUGUAUGUUAGUCAUUUGUUUUAGUAGUUAAUUCUGGAAAGCAACUCAUACAGAAUUUAGAAAAGGAUUUGCACCAUAAAUAUUAGUAGAGUUGAUUACAACACACAGGGAGGUUUUAUAGGGAUAGAGCAAUUAUACUGAAAUAUACUUGGAUGAUAAAACAUGAAUAUAAAAUGAAAGUCUUUAAUAUGAAUAUUUGCUUUAGAAAAAUACAAUUAUAGCAGCAUUUCUGCAUAAUAGGCAAAGAAAAGUGAUAGUUCUUUUGAACUAUGAUACAUGAUCCAAAAGAGCUUUAUAUUUUCAAUUUAUGGUGCAAUUUUUCUGGUUGGCAGAAAAUGUAAUUAGCAGGCACCAUUGUGCUAUUUUUUAUUUAGUAAAACAACUUUACUUUUUUAAGGGACAGCUGGCGGUAUGUCUGUAAAGCAUUAUGAUAUGAAACUUAUGGUUUUCUAGUUAUGCUGUUUUGUAAUUAUAUGAAGUUCAGUCAAUCAACCUUUUAGUGAUAGAAUUGGUGAGUAUUAGUGAGCCUUAAUCUCAUGUCAAGAUUUUCCUUCGGAGAAGAAUUGAUGAAUACCAUGCCCUGGUGUUUUUCGUCUCUUCUUCCUAGAAUAUUUAACAAGUACAGCUUAGGUAAAAUAAAAGCCUUCAAGUGGCGAGAGAAGUGAUGUCACCAAGAGAAAUUUGCAGUUUGAGAGGAUGUGGAGGAAAGAAGUCUGUGAAUCAGUGGCAACUGCAUAUUUGUGAGACCAGAUUUCCAUGGGAUUAUUGUCAGAUCAGCAUGUCUGGAGCCAAACUUUGAAAAGUGGCAGAUAAGGUUAAAAAAAAAAAAGCAAGCAGAUGAUAGAAAGUAUGCCAAAUUAAGGGAUUUUCCUUCUGAGCUGUAUAUGAGAAGAAGUCACUAAGGCAUUCGAGCAAGGAACUAUUGUAAAGUGGAGCACCUAACAAGAUAUAUUUGUGUUUACUUUAAUCAUUGGAACCACCUUAACCAAUCCUUUGCUGGGUGAAGGAAGAUCAAAUUGGCGGGAAAAAACCCUUAAUGAUCUUCUAAAUCUUUAGUUUUACUUUUGUUUAUUGAACCUAAAGGUAGGCUUCAAAAAUCCAUUUUAUCAAAUCUGUUUCCACUUUUCAACAGCAAUAAGUCAGUGGAGUUGUCUGUAUUAGAUACACAGUAAUCAAGAAUAGUUUAGGCUUAGGUAAUCUACUUGUAGUACUUGCAUGUUUUAGAUUCUCUGCAACAAACUGUGAGGUAUUUUCUCUCUCAGUAACCAAGUAUAUGAAAUAACACCAAAUCCUGACAAGAAUGUAGUUAUGUGGAACAAGAUUAAGUCUUUAAAUACACUGUACAAAUAUUUGGUUCUAGCAUACUAGGCUUCGAAAUCAGGAACCAUAGACAGUGCUAUUGAUCAGGCAAUAUUUGUCUUUAACUCAUGCCUUUACCCUUUUCCAGGCAGUUUCAUAGAUCUGGGAGAGGUUGAGGGGAAUAAGGGCUGGUACUGUCCCUCAAUUCAUACCAUACAGAUAACUACUUACCAUGCCUUUGUGUAGAGUCAGUCUUACAUUCUGACAAGGUGAUAUUUUGUUCUAAAUAUUUAGUAAUAAGUUUAGGCUUUAGCAUAUUACUAUAAUAAUCAUGUAGUAGCAUGUAUUGUUUAAUAAUGUUUUUGCUAGUAUGGAAUUAAAAUAUCCCAGACUAUUUUUCUUAUGAACCAUGAGGAAACCAGUGUUUCAUGGAAAUAAACACUGGUCUAAAAGUUCAUAGUGAUCAUUCUAGGACUGACUGCCUUACAAAUGCGUGUAAAUUUCUUCACCUCCUGAGCCUCAGUACUACAUUUUAAAACUGGAGGUAAUAUUAGUCUCACCUCCACCCCAGUGUUACUGUAAAAAUUAAUGAGAUCAUAUGCAUGAAUAGGAGUCAUUAUUUUUCACUUUUAUAAGAAAACUUGUUUUCCAUUUAUUUGGUAAAGAACCUUGGAUAUCCAUCUUAUAAGAUAUGAAAAUCACCAACAUGUUUAACACAAACUACUGGAAAAAUACAAUGUGACUUACAUAUGUAGUAAUAUACAAAAUAUAAUAUGACUUACACAUAGUAACACACAUAAUGUGACUUAAACAUAGUAGCCCCUGGGUUUUUGUAUCAUUCAUUUGUUCACUCAACAAGUAUUUAUCAAUACUGUGUAGUAAUUAUACCUUACUGUGUUCUAGUGUUAUGGAUACAGCAUUAAAUUUAAAAAGACAACAAUGUUGGUAGUCAUGGAGCUUGUCUUUUUGUAGGGGGAAAGCAGACUUAAUAUAAAUAUUUUAAAGAAUCAGAUAGAAAAUCAUACAUUAACCCUGAAUAAAUGUUAUCAUUUUAUUUCAUUAGCAUAAUAAACACUAUCUACUAAGGGAAAAAUGUGUAUUUUUACCUUCCUAAUUACCAAGGAUGUAUAAUAAGUCUAAGUUCACCAAAGCUAAAAAAUGAAAACUGUUUCUUUUGAUUUUUGGCUAAAAAUUAUGUUCAGAUAGAUGUCAACUAUAAAGGUAUGAGUCUUCAUGUUUUUCCCUCUAUUUAGAUUGGAUUUGAAAAAUGAAUAUAAAGAUGCUCUAAGUAGACAUAAUCAAAACGUAAAAUAUUUAAGCAUCAUUAGUACUUCGAAUAGUAAUUUUAUAGUAACUUCUAGUCUCCUUAUAACCAUCCUGCCUUGUAUUUAACCAAAUUAUUCUGACUUUAAUCAUUAUUACAGAAUAUAAAUAAUGCUUAUAAAAAGUGUUAAAAAUCUUCUCUGGUAGUAGAAGUAUAACUUCCAUAGUUUAUGACUUGCAAAGUCAAUGCAAUAUUUUGAUAGGUUACAUAGGCAGAGAAUGUGAAAGAGGUCAUGAGUUGUGGUUUUUAAAACAAUUUUUUUUUCAUUGUAUAGGAAAAUAUCUUUAUCAGAAGAAGAAAACAGUGUUGUUAUAAACUUCUUAAAGAUUUUCAUGCAAAAGGUGAAGAUGAAUUUGGUGUGAGGUUUAUCUGAGAGAUCAUCAAGAGAAUUAUUUUCACUUUUGGGGCUUGUUCUAGUUAAUAUAUUGAUUGAUAGAUGGAUAGGUUCAUUAGUUUUGCAGGAACCUGAUUUCCAAUUUUGGUUUUGCCAUAGCGAUUUAGGCCGCUUUUCCUCUCUGGGCUUGUGUUUCCUCAUCUAAAACAAACUGGUCAGCCCAAAUUAUGGCUAAAUUAUUUUAUUUAGGUUCUCAGAUUCACAAAUAUAUACUUUCUAUAAUGCUUCUAUUUAAUUUUUGAAAAUUUUUAUGUUAUUGCAUUUCUGAUAUGGAUGUAAAAAGAUAGUAGGUGAGGUUGAAAAAAGACUACAGGGGAUGAAUGUACAAAAAGCAUACAAAUGAAAUUAUUGGUGUUUUCUUUAUAAUGCUGAGGGUCUAAGGAGGAUCUGGCAAGUAAUAAGCAAGAGAAGCUGCAUAGUGUUUUCAGAGAUGAUUAACAUUUAGAAAAAUUCAAUUCUGGUUAGAAUAAAUUUCUCUAAAAUAACCAUAGUUUUAAUGGAAAAUAUAAAAAGAUUGCUCUUUUGAGUAAAUGACCACUAGAAUUAAUUUUUUUAACACAAACCUACUUCUAGAAUACCCCCAUUUUGCUGUUUUUCAAAUGUCAAGUGCCAAAAUGUCAUAUAUAUUCAGGGAAGAGGGUUUCCUCCUUGAACAAGGAGAUGAUACACAAUCAGCAUUAUUUUGUGAGUAAAAAUUCUCAUGACAGUCAUCCGAGACAGAUACUGUCUUCGAAGUGACAAUAGCUACAGAACCUUGAAAAGUGGAAGUAAGGAACUUUAUUUUGCAUGAGAAUUCUCUAAGAAGAUUUGAAGAAGUGAUGUAGAUCAGUUAAUUGUUCUACUGUGAAAAUCCAUUCAUUUAAAACACAGAGAGCAUCCAAAUAGGCACUUUUGUUUCCCUCACACUGAUUCAUUCAUUUUUUUCUUGAGAAUAUGGUAGUGUUUUGAAGCACUUGUGUAGAAGCUGGAUCCAUGAAAGUACCAUUUUGCCAACUAUGAUAACAUAGUGUUAGAAUUUUCUUGGUGAACUUACUGAUUUACUGUGUUUUGUAAUCCAGUUGUUGAAGAGUCAAAGAAAUUUUCUUAGGGGAUGUUGAAAUGACUAUCUAGGAUUCUCCUGGCAAGGAGUAUUCUUCUGUAAAUGUCUCAUUAUCUAAGUAUGUGGUAUGAUUUUAAAGACUUCAGCAAUACUUCUAUGACAACCAUUGUGGAUUAUGAAAUCCCACCAUUAGCAUAUUUUCUAAGGUUAGGCAAGUAUUUUCUUAGCAGCGCGAUACAAAAUAAAGAUGCUAUAGAUUAUCAAUUUUGAAAAUAUGACAUUUCUUGCUUCUGAGAGAGAAGCAUCCAGGUCCAGCAUCUUAGUAUAGUUAUCAGAGAAAGAAAAACGUUAAAGUGCUAAUGAUAUUUUUAAAUGACUAUAACUGUUAUUUGAAUAUUAAUAAGAAUCUAAUUAAGAGUAUGUUCAGCAAUAUGCUAGUCUCAUAAAAAGACACGGAGAAGGAUGCAACAUGGUCUUUAUAAGUCAUUUUUAGUCUUUACAGAAGAUUAAAACAUACAGAGAUAUAUAAUAAACAUAAGCACUGAAUAAUUAAGUAUUUAGAAUUUACUACAUAUUAUGCAACAUACUGCCCUAUAUUAAACAUCUUCCUUGAGCCAUCUCAUUCAGUCAUCAACAGGGUCCUAUAAGUGGGAUUACUAAUACCUCCAGUUUGCAUAUGAAAAAACAAAGAUACAGAAAAUUUAAGAAACUUCUCCAAAGACAUGAAGCCCACAGAUAUUAGUGAAAGAGUCAAACCCUCGGCAGUUUGCCUACAGUCUGUGCUCUUAACCUCUUUAUGAGGCUGAAUUCAUGAAGGAGUAUAGUCCAGACUACAAUUGUCAUAGGGGUUCAAAGGAGGUAGAGUGGUUAAGAAAAUCAUACUAAAAAAAAAAAAAGGGACUUUAACUCCACUCAGAAAUGUGUGUACAAUAGAUAAAUGAAGAAGUACAUGGGGGGGUGUUAAUAGGAAACAAUUUUCCUGAAGAGAGGCAUUAUUGUAAGAUAAAUGUUGAUAAAAGAUACCAUGGUCAUACAGAUUUUAAUGUUUUUUUUUAAUUAGGUUACUAGAAGUACUUCUCCCUAUUGGUAUUUGGCCUGCUCCUGGGUUUGACUCUUAUAACAAAGAGACCAAAAGCACAACUAUAGCACAGUAGCCUUAGGAAAGUGAUGAUGAUGACAGCAACAACAACAACAAAAUUCUCAUUUUAAUGCAGGUAUUGUACUAGGUCGUUUACAUGAAAUUCUUUUUGAAUAUGAUGGAGGGAAUAACAGACAUGCAUGUGUGCAUGAUACACACACACAC